UUAACUGUGAUGAAUAUUUAGUCGGCUGAAACCAGUGAUGUUUCACAAUAACGAGCUUUUUAACACUGAUAACA
Small nucleolar RNA from Diabrotica virgifera virgifera (western corn rootworm), 74 nucleotides. The record is from RefSeq and is a predicted model, not a curated record. Lineage: Eukaryota; Metazoa; Arthropoda; Insecta; Coleoptera; Chrysomelidae.